UGGGGAAUAUUGCGCAAUGGGCGAAAGCCUGACGCAGCGACGCCGCGUGGAGGAUGAAGGUCUUAGGAUUGUAAACUCCUGUUAAGUGGGAAGAAAAGCUUAUCAGUAAUAUGGAUAGGUUAUGACGGUACCACUAGAGAAAGCACCGGCUAACUUCGUGCCAGCAGCCGCGGUAAUACGAGGGGUGCAAGCGUUAUUCGGAUUUACUGGGCGUAAAGGGUGUGUAGACGGUUUACUAAGUCUGUUGUUAAAUACUCUGGCUUAACUGGAGAUCAGCAGUGGAAACUAGUAGACUAGAGGUUGGAAGAGAGAAGUGGAAUUCCCGGAGUAGCGGUAAAAUGCGUAGAUCUCGGGAGGAACACCGAUGGCGAAGGCAGCUUCUUGGUCCAUACCUGACGUUGAGACACGAAAGCGUGGGGAGCAAACAGGAUUAGAUACCCCCGUAGUCC
RNAcentral lists this ribosomal RNA (449 nucleotides) under uncultured bacterium. Its description in RNAcentral is "bacterial SSU rRNA". It matches the Rfam family "Bacterial small subunit ribosomal RNA", at positions 355 to 796 of the family's 1533-position model. The record is from RNAcentral.